Molecule: non-coding RNA, 73 nt
Organism: Merluccius polli (Benguela hake)
Lineage: Eukaryota; Metazoa; Chordata; Actinopteri; Gadiformes; Merlucciidae
Source: the annotation of a GenBank genome assembly
AGCAGAGUGGCGCAGCGGAAGCGUGCAGGGCCCAUAACCCAGCGGUCUGAUGGAUCGAAACCAUGCUCUGCUA